CUACGGGUUGCUCCAGUGAGGAAUAUUGCACAAUGGGGGGAACCCUGAUGCAGCAACGCCGCGUGGAGGAUGACGCAUUUCGGUGUGUAAACUCCUUUUAUAUGUCAAGAAAAUGACGGUAGCAUAUGAAUAAGCACCGGCUAACUCCGUGCCAGCAGCCGCGGUAAUACGGAGGGUGCAAGCGUUACUCGGAAUCACUGGGCGUAAAGGACGCGUAGGCGGGUUGGAAAGUCAGGUGUGAAAUCCUACAGCUUAACUGUAGAACUGCACUUGAAACUGGUAACCUAGAGUAUGGGAGGGGGAGAUGGAAUUAGUGGUGUAGGGGUAAAAUCCGUAGACAUCACUAGGAAUACCUAAAGCGAAGGCGAUCUCCUGGAACAUAACUGACGCUAAGGCGUGAAAGCGUGGGGAGCAAACAGGAUUAGAUACCCUCGUAGUC
Molecule: ribosomal RNA, 439 nt
Filed under: uncultured bacterium
Lineage: Bacteria
Description: partial 16S ribosomal RNA
Rfam family: Bacterial small subunit ribosomal RNA
Source: RNAcentral